AUUUAGAGGAAGUAAAAGUCGUAACAAGGUUUCCGUAGGUGAACCUGCGGAAGGAUCAUUAAAAGUAAUAUGUAUUCUCUCGAAUAUACAUUAUAAACCCAUCUGUGUAUCUUACCCGUUGCUUCCGCGAGGCAGUGAUCUCGGUCACCUCCGAACGAUGGCGAAAGCUGUCCGACGGGGAGCACUCGCGGGAGGUAUACAUCAAACUCUUGCAUUUUUUAUGUCAUCUGUCUGAACUGUUUAUAACAAAUGUUAAAACUUUCAACAACGGAUCUCUUGGUUCUCGCAUCGAUGAAGAACGCAGCGAAAUGCGAUAAGUAGUGUGAAUUGCAGAAUUCAGUGAAUCAUCGAAUCUUUGAACGCACAUUGCGCCUCCUGGUAUUCCGGGAGGCAUGCCUGUUCGAGCGUCAUUAAAAACCACUCAAGCUCUUUUGCUUGGUAUUGGGAGAGGAGUGCACUCGCUGCCCUCCCUUCCGAAAUUCAAUGGCGGAAAGCCCCAUGUGCCCCGGCGUAGUAAGUUUUCUUUCGCUUGGAACGUGAGGUGAUCCUGCCGCAAACCCCCAAUUCUUUCUAGGUUGACCUCGGAUCAGGUAGGGAUACCCGCUGAACUUAAGCAUAUCAAUAAGCCGGAG
RNAcentral lists this ribosomal RNA (632 nucleotides) under Scutellinia sp. OTU075 AN-2016. Its description in RNAcentral is "eukaryotic LSU rRNA". The stretch from base 257 to 410 matches the Rfam family "5.8S ribosomal RNA". Lineage: Eukaryota; Fungi; Ascomycota; Pezizomycetes; Pezizales; Pyronemataceae. The record is from RNAcentral.